Molecule: ribosomal RNA, 427 nt
Filed under: uncultured bacterium
Lineage: Bacteria
Description: bacterial SSU rRNA
Rfam family: Bacterial small subunit ribosomal RNA
Source: RNAcentral
GUGAGGAAUUUUCCGCAAUGGGCGAAAGCCUGACGGAGCAAUGCCGCGUGGAGGAAGACAGCCUGUGGGUCGUAAACUCCUUUUCUCAGAGAAGAAGUUCUGACGGUAUCUGAGGAAAAAGCAUCGGCUAACUCCGUGCCAGCAGCCGCGGUAAUACGGAGGAUGCAAGCGUUAUCCGGAAUGAUUGGGCGUAAAGCGUCUGUAGGUGGUUUCUGAAGUCUGCUGUCAAAUAUCAAGGCUUAACCUUGAGUCGGCAGUAGAAACUCAGAAGCUUGAGUACGGUAGGGGCAGAGGGAAUUCCCGGUGUAGCGGUGAAAUGCGUAGAGAUCGGGAAGAACACCAACGGCGAAAGCACUCUGCUGGGCCGAAACUGACACUAAGAGACGAAAGCUAGGGGAGCAAAUGGGAUUAGAAACCCCAGUAGUCC